RNAcentral lists this microRNA precursor (89 nucleotides) under Olea europaea subsp. europaea. Lineage: Eukaryota; Viridiplantae; Streptophyta; Magnoliopsida; Lamiales; Oleaceae. The record is from RNAcentral.
UGCCUUAAAAGGCAGCAAGCUGCUGCCUUAUAUUAAGGCAGCCAGCUGCUGCCUUAUAUUAAGGCAGUAGCUUGCUGCCUUUUAAGGCA